GCUGUGGCUCAGUGGUAAAUCAUCUGCCAGGCAUGUAGAGGGUCGCUGGUUCAAUCUCAGGCAUCUCCA
Molecule: transfer RNA, 69 nt
Filed under: Sphaerodactylus townsendi
Lineage: Eukaryota; Metazoa; Chordata; Lepidosauria; Squamata; Sphaerodactylidae
Description: tRNA-Ala
Source: RNAcentral